Labrus mixtus (cuckoo wrasse) is the source of this 350-nucleotide long non-coding RNA. RefSeq lists it as uncharacterized. Lineage: Eukaryota; Metazoa; Chordata; Actinopteri; Labriformes; Labridae. The transcript has 2 exons. The record is from RefSeq and is a predicted model, not a curated record.
GGUGUUAGUUUUUGAUGCAUUUGGAGUCACUUUGUGUUUGUUUCCCCUCCUUCUGUUUUCCCUCUUGCAGUGUGUGUGCAGUGGAGGGCGUGGCUGGCUGAGCUGGAACGAGGAGCACCUGAAUCUCAUCAGGUCAUCACUCAGGCCUUAAAGACAGAUCGGGACUCAACACCUGUGCCAGAUUAUUCCUUUUGCAGUCGCCUGCCGGAGAGCCUCACCUCCUUGCUUUGGAUUUCUGUUUGGCCUUGCUGCUUUUUGAGUUCUCCUGCGCCAGCCCGUCCUCUAUUGCCACCAACUGCCUUAAAACUUUUAUUUUGCUACAAGCUACAUUAAAACGUCUUAAAGACUGA